GUAAUGAUAACCAGGCUAUAUACACAGGGUACCAGUACUGAGUCAAUGAUAACUAGGUUAUAUACACAGGGUACCAGUACUGAGUCAAUGAUAACUAGGUUAUAUACACAGGGUACCAGUACUGAUCCAUGAUAACUGGGUUAUAUACACAGAGUACCAGGUUAUAUACACAGGGUAGCAGUACUGAGUAAUGAUAACUAGGUUAUAUACACAGGGUAGCAGUACUGAGUCCAUGAUAACUAGGUUAUAUACACAGGGUACUAAACUUUAUGGUGUUGGAGUCGUGUUUGGCCACGCAGUCGUGGGUGAACAGGGAGUACAGGAGGGGGCUAAGCACACACCCCUGAGGGGCCCCAGUGUUGAGGAUCAGCAUGGCGGAUGUGUUGUUGCCUACCCUCACCACCUGAGGGCGGCCCGUCAGGAAGUCCAGGAUCCAGUUGCAGAGGGAUGUGUUUAGUCCCAGGAUCCUUAGCUUAGUGAUGAGCUCGGAUGGCGCUGUAGUGAACAGCAUUCUCACAUAAGUGUUCCUUUUGUCCAGGUGGGAAAGGGCAGUGUGGAGUGCAAUAGAGAUUGUCUCAUCUGUGAGUCCGUUUUUUUUUUUUUUUACAUACAUAUAUAUUUUUUAACACCUUUAUUGAACUAGGCAAGUCAGUUAAGAACAAAUUCUUAUUUUCAAUGACGGCCUAGGAACAGUGGGUUAACUGCCUUGUUCAGGGCCCGGGGAACAGUGGGUUAACUGCCUUGUUCAGGGGCAGAACGACAGAUUUUUACCUCGUCAGUUCGGGGAUUUGAUCCAGCAACCCUUUCGGUUACUGGCCCAACGCUCUAACCACUGGGCUACCUGCCACCCCAUCUGUUGGGGCGGUUUGCGAAUUGGAGUGGGUUGAAGGUGUCUGGGAUUAUGAUGUUGAUGUGAGCCAUGACCAGCAUUUCAAAGCAUUUCAUGUGAGAACUACGGGUCGAUAGCCAUUUUGACAGGUUACCUUAGUGUUCUUGGGCACAGGGACUAUAGUGGUCUGCUUAAAACAUGUAGGUAUUACAGACUCGGACAGGGAGAGGUUGAAAAUGUCAGUGAAGACACUUGCUGGCUGGCGCAUACUCUGAGUACACGUCCUGGUUAUCCAUCUGGACCCCCUGAGGCCUUGUGAACAUUGACCGGUUUUACUCACAUCGUCAACGGAGAGCGUGUGUUAGUUUGCAAACCCUGACACAUGCGACAAACAUCAGAGCCGAUGUCGUAGGAUUCGAUCUUUAGCCUUGUAUUGACGCUUUGCCUGUUUGCUGGUUAGUCAAGAGGGCGUAGCAGGAACUAUCUUGGUAAAUGAUAUGGUCUUCAGAUGAUCUAACUCAGGUGAGCAGGACAUCCUAAAUAUUAGAGAUCGCACACGAGCUGUUGAGAAAAAGACACACACCUCCCCCAUUGAGCUUACCCUCGCUGCCGUUCUAUCCUGCCGAUGUAUAGAAAAACCAACUAGACGCAUAUUUUAUCCAUGUCCUCGUUCAGCCGCGACUCUGUGAAACAUAUGAUAUUACAGUUCUUCAGGUCCCGUUGAUAGGAUAGUCUCAAACGGAGCUCCAUCCAGUUUAUUCUCCAGUGAUUGUUACGUUUCGCCAAUAGAACGGAGGGCAGAGGCGGGUUAUGUACUCGCCCGACGUAAUUUCGUCAGGGUACCCUCACGUCAGCCUCUCUCUCUCUCUCUCUUACGUUGCCCUUUUUCGUGUCUCUGGGAUUAGGGCCUGGUCCGAGGUGAGCAGUACGUUGCCCUUUUUCGUGUCUCUGGGAUUAGGGCCUGGUCCGAGGUGAGCAGUACGACCUGCGCAUCCCGAUUCGUUGAAGUAGAAUUCUACUUCCAAAUGGGAGGUUAGUGAUCCCUGUUCUGAUGUCCAGAAUCUAUUUUCGGUCUUUACAGUCACAGGAAACGAUGACGGAAACAUAAUUAAUAUAACUUUUUUUGGUACAUUAAGUGCAAUAUGUAACCAUUUGGGUGAUCUGACCAAAUUCCCAUAGAAAUGUGAGUUAUAUACAUCUGUCAUUCUCAUUGAAAGCAAGACAAACAAGCGGUAGAUCUGUUCUACGUGCUCUAUUUCUAUGCUUCCCAUUCUUAAGUUUAAUUUCAGCGUCUUUUACAUUCGGUUUUGUACACCAGCUUUAAACCUGCUGAAAAUACAAUAUUUAUGGUUAUGGAAAAUAUAUUUAGCAGCUGUUUAGAUUAAACAUUGAUUCUCUACACAACACUUGCUUGUUAUGUCACACAAACUGAAAUGAGAAUUUUAGGCUCUUGAUCUCUGCUGUUACCAAUAGAAGCUUGCUUUUGCAGGAAGCUAACCCCUUAGCUAGAUAACUAGCCAUCAAACUGCAGAGCCAUUAGCACGUUUUAAACAGUUACCUUAAUAGUUGUAAGAUGUCUAGCUGGUAAAUAUCUCGUAGUGAUUUCCCCUACUGUAACUAGAUCACCUGACGCCUGCUGGACAACAUGGCUCUGGUCUCUCGUCAUCACGUGCUUGCAAACAAAACAACAUGUGACUGGGGACUACCGGUAAACUUCAUCAUGAAAAAAAAUUGUUUCAAUGAACGCAAAUCUGCUUUAUAUCCUAACAUAUGGCACACGUAACGUAGACUGCAGGUAUUUACUCUAAAGAGUAGCGACAAAUAGAAAAACGUAUUAAAUUAGUACAUUUCAACGGUAUUGAAAAACCAUCCCAUGGCCAUUUCCAAAUAUCCGGGUAUACAGUAUACUGCCCAACCCUAGUGUUUGUGUGUGUGUGUGUGUGUGUGUGU
Molecule: long non-coding RNA, 2779 nt
Filed under: Salmo salar (Atlantic salmon)
Lineage: Eukaryota; Metazoa; Chordata; Actinopteri; Salmoniformes; Salmonidae
Description: lncRNA (ENSSSAG00000094141.1)
Source: RNAcentral